RNAcentral lists this long non-coding RNA (7315 nucleotides) under Xyrichtys novacula (pearly razorfish). Lineage: Eukaryota; Metazoa; Chordata; Actinopteri; Labriformes; Labridae. The record is from RNAcentral.
GGCCAAAUAAAACCAGAGUUAUGAUAAAUUAUGUCCGUGAUACUUUUUUUCUGCUUAUUUUGAUCACGUUCGGCACUCGAUCGCGCUGUAUGAGACAGGAAAACAUAGCAUGCAGACAUUAGCGACAGGUCUUACAGGCGGAAAAGGCUUGCCAAAAGAAAAAAAAAACACACCACAACAUCUCUCCUAUUGGUGGAAAACUUCACCACAACAACCAAUCCAAAAUUAUAUGGUGACUGAUUGACAAGGGGCGGGUGCUUACGUUCUUCCUGCAACAUGAGAAGCGAGGGAGGGACUCUCAGCAGGGAUGCAGUCUGGGACAUGUAGUUGCAAACCUAGCGACUUUGUUGUUAGAUUCAAUGACUUUUCAGACCCCCUAACGACUUUUUUUUUUAGAAAGAAAGGGACUUUUAUCGACUUCUUCUGGAGUUUAGAGACUCUGACAUGAAGCAGGCUUUCCUUACUGAGGAGUUAGCAACGCUGCUAAGGGUGCAGAGCCACACAUGCGCUCAGAGCUCUGCAUGGGAGACUGAAGCUGACAGAGCUGCAGCAGUUAGCAGGUUUCACCCUCAGAGACCACCAGGGGUUCAUGUUGAGGCAUUUUAAUUUUUUUUUUUUUUUGUGCCAUAGACACUGUCAGCACAAUCUGCAGUUACACUAACAAAAAUGCUGCAAAAAACAAAGAAUUAUGGAAAAAUUACACAUGGACUGACAUAGAGGAGGAUCUACACAAGUUUUUUACAUCAUGUUUUACAUCAUGCAUCAUUUACAUCAUGUUUUUUUGUAGUGGCAUAAAUAAAAAGUGACAUUUGUGAGACUAUACAGUGUUUUGUAAAUAAUUUUACAAAGAACGCCUGGGCCAUUGCCUGCAUUUUGAUGUAAAUAGAGGUAAAUCACUAUGUUCUUUGUUAAAAAUUUGCAUAUGUUUUGAAGUUUACAAUUUUUAUUUGAAGUUUAAGUUUUAAAAACAGUUCAUCACACAUAUUUGUGGUUUUCACAGUAAAAAUGUUACUUUUUUCCACUCGGAUUUUAUGUUUUGUGUGUGAAUUUGGGUCCAUUGUGUAAAUUCAGUAUGUCAACAUGAUAAAAUAACUGUAUAUUCGCACAGGUGAGGUUGUGCUGAAAAAAAUGAUACCAGGCAAGGCACGUGAUUGUCAAAUUUUGUGUCAAUAUGACAAAGCGUAUAGGCGUGAAUCUCAACAAUAUGUAUUUUCACCUUAGGGGACAAGAAAAAAUGGACUUUUUUCUCCUGCCAUGGGGGGCGCUCUUUUGGGGAGUAAAAAUUCCUUCACAAAUGUGUUGAUGGCUGGACAUUGCAUCAUCCUAGAAAACUUGGAGGCCAGUGAGGACAAAAAUAAAAAGUUAUAAGACUUUUAAAUAUGUGGAUUUUAGGGUUAUCUUUGGCGCCCCCUAGAACCUAAACCGUGGGGUGCAGCGUCAUGAUUUGAAUAACUUUUAAUGGCCAUGGGGUGUAGAUUGGCCUGAGCAAAUGUGUUGCCGGUGGAACGAAAGCCUUAGGAGGAGUUAGCCACAUUCCAAUGUGUGCGGAUCGGCAAAAAAUGCGGAAUAACCCUUUAACCGUACAUUUGACAGAUACGCGCUCAUAGACUUUUUUGUAGAUCUUAUUGAGAUACAUGUGUGUGUCAAUUUUUGUGUCAUUUUGCCAAAGCGUAAAGGUGUGACACUCAACAAUGUGUAUUUUCACCUUAGGGGUCAAGAAAAAAUGGACUUUUUUCUCCUGCCAUGGGGGGGCGCUCUUUUGGGGAGUAAAAAUUCCUUCACAGAUGUGUUGAUGGCUGGACAUUGCAUCAUCCUAGAAAACUUGGAGGCCAGUGAGGACAAAAAUAAAAAGUUAUAAGACUUUUAAAUAUGUGGAUUUUAGGGUUAUUUUUGGCGCCCCCUAGAACCUAAACCGUGGGGUGCAGCGUCAUGAUUUGAAUAACUUUUAAUGGCCAUGGGGUGUAGAUUGGCCUGAGCAAAUGUGGUGCCGGUGGAACGAAAGCCUUCGGAGGAGUUAGCGAAAUUCCAAUGUGUGCAGAUCUGCAAAAAAUGCAAAAUAACCCAUUAACCGUACAUUUGACAGAUACGCCCGCACUGACUUUUUUGUAGAUCUUAUUGAGAUACAUGUGUGUGUCAAUUUUUGUGUCAAUAUGACAAAGCGUACAGCCGUCAUGUGAAUUUUCACCUUAGGGGGCGCUAUGGAGCCAUUUUGCAUUUUAUUGUUUGGGCGACUUCGGAAUAUCAAAUUUUUCACCAGGCCCGGUCGUCCUGCCAAAUUUCAUGAGUUUUCGCCAGUGGGAAGUGGGCCAUUUUCCAGUUCAAAGGGGAGGAAAAAGAAAAAAGAAACAAAGAAAAACCACUUGGGGAAUAAUAGGGCUCUCGCAGCUGCUUAGCAGCUACGCUCGGGCCCUAAUAAUAACAAAAGAAGGAAACUACAGGAACAAGAGGGCUCUCGCAGCUGCUUAGCAGCUACGCUCGGGCCCUAAAGAAAGAAAGAAAGAAAGAAACAAAGAAAAACCACUUGGGGAAUAAUAGGGCCUACGCCCGGCUGCUCUGCAGCUGGCUCGGGCCCUAAUAAGAAGAAGAAGAAACUAGGGCCCCGUUGGGGCACUGGCGGGCCCGAGCCUCGUUGCGCCGCCCCCAGUGCGACCACCUCCCCCUCCCGAUCGCGUCACACUCAAGGUCCAAAGAUGGUGUGCGCACUUGUCUGUGGUCAUUUCCCAUUAUAAUGAAUAGGAGGCGCAGUUUCUACCAAAACACUCGCUGCAGACAAACUACAUGUCCUAUUUGAAAAAAGUCUGGACCAUGAGUGAGGGCACAAACACAGCUAGGAUAUAUCCAAACGGCAAGUUGCUCCUCGUUACGGUGUUGCCGGGAGAGCGAUGCGAUUGAGCCAUUGAGUGAUGGGCAGGAAAAACUUGACUGUUUCUCCUGCCAUGGGGGAUGGGGGAUGGGGGGGGGGGAUUCUUUUAAGAAUGUGGAUAUUUGGGUCAUCUUUGGCGCCCCCUAGAACGUAAACCGUGGGGUGCAGCGUCAUGAUUUUUACAACUUUGAAUGGCCAUGGGGUGUAGAUUGGCCUGAGCAAAUUUGGUGUCAGUGGGACGAAAGCCUUAGGAGGAGUUAGCCACAUUCCAAUGUGUGCUAAUCGGCAAAAAAUGCAAAAUAGCCCUUUAACCGUACAUUUUACAGAUACGCGCGCAUUGACUUUUUCGUAGAUCUUAUUGAGAUACAUGUGUGUGUCAAAUUUUGUGUCAAUAUGACAAAGCAUACAGGUAUGACAGUCAACAAUGUGUAUUUUCACCUUAUGGGACAAGAAAAAAUGGACUUUUUUCUCCUGCCAUGGGGGGGCGCUCUUUUGGGGAGUAAAAAUUCCUUCACAAAUGUGUUGAUGGCUGGACAUUGCAUCAUCCUAGAAAACUUGGAGGCCAGAGAGGACAAAAAUAAAAAGUUAUAAGACUUUUAAAUAUGUGGAUUUUAGGGUUAUCUUUGGCGCCCCCUAGAACCUAAACCGUGGGGUGCAGCGUCAUGAUUUGAAUAACUUUUAAUGGCCAUGGGGUGUAGAUUGGCCUGAGCAAAUGUGGUGCCGGUGGAACGAAAGCCUUCGGAGGAGUUAGCGAAAUUCCAAUGUGUGCGGAUCGGCAAAAAAUGCGCAAUAACCCUUUAACCGUACAUUUGACAGAUACGCGCGCAUUGACUUUUUCGUAGAUCUUAUUGAGAUACAUGUGUGUGUCAAUUUUUGUGUCAUUUUGCCAAAGCGUACAGGCGUGACACUAAACAAUGUGUAUUUUCACCUUAUGGGACAAGAAAAAAUUGACUUUUUUCUCCUGCCAUGGGGGGGCGCUCUUUUGGGGAGUAAAAAUUCCUUCACAAAUGUGUUGAUGGCUGGACAUCGCAUCAUCCUAGAAAACUUGGAGGCCAGUGAGGGCAAAAAUAAAAAGUUAUAAGACUUUUAAAUAUGUGGAUUUUAGGGUUAUCUUUGGCGCCCCCUAGAACCUAAACCUUUCUGCUUGUUUUGAUCACGUUCGGCGCUCGAUCGCGCUGUAUGAGACAGGAAAACAUAGCAUGCACACAUUAGUGACAGGUCUUACAGGCGGAAAAGGCUUGCCAAAAGAAAAAAAAAACACACCACAACAUCUCUCCUAUUGGUGGAAAACUUCACCACAACAACCAAUCCAAAAUUAUAUGGUGACUGAUUGACAAGGGGCGGGCGCUUACGUUCUUCCUGCAACAUGAGAAGGGAGGGAGGGACUCUCAGCAGGGAUGCAGUCUGGGACACGUAGUUGCAAACCUAGCGACUUUGUUGUUAGAUUCAAUUACUUUUCAGACCCCCUAACGACUUUUUUUUAGAAAGAAAGGGACUUUUAUCGACUUCUUCUGGAGUUUAGAGACUCUGACAUGAAGCAGGCUUUCCUUACUGAGGAGUUAGCAACGCUGCUAAGGGUGCAGAGCCACACAUGCGCUCCGAGCUCUGCAUGGGAGACUGAAGCUGACAGAGCUGCAGCAGUUAGCAGGUUUCACCCUCAGAGACCACCAGGGGUUCAUGCUGAGGCAUUUUCAGUUUUUGUUUUUUUUGCCAUAGACUGUCAGCACAAUCUGCAGUUACACUAACAAAAAUGCUGCAAAAAACAAAGAAUUAUGGAAAAAUUACACAUGGACUGACAUAGAGGAGGAUCUACACAAGUUUUUUACAUCAUGUUUUACAUCAUGCAUCAUUUACAUCAUGUUUUUUUGUAGUGGCAUACAUAAAAAGUGACAUUUGUGAGACUAUACAGUGUUUUGUAAAUAAUUUUACAAAGAACGCCUGGGCCAUUGCCUGCAUUUUGAUGUAAAUAGAGGUAAAUUACUAUGUUCUUUGUUAAAAAUUUGCAUAUGUUUUGAAGUUUACAAUUUUUAUUUGAAGUUUAAGUUUUAAAAACAGUUCAUCACACAUAUUUGUGGUUUAAUUUCACAUUAAUUUCCAUAUUGUAUAAAUGACUGGAAAAAACUUGAGCCCCUGCCCCUGUAUAAUCAUGUGCACGUCCCUGUUCUAGCUCCAAGGUGAAUCUUCACUGCUCAUGUUCUCCUCAGAAAUAGUCACCUCACUCCCCUCAGGUUACUGUACACAUGCACCAACUAUCUGCUUCAGGUUUGGAUGGAGCUUCAUGGUUGUCUUUUGGAGAAAUGAACAGUCAAGUUGUGUUUGAAAUCUGAUUUUUUUCAGGGGCAAAAGGAAGCCUCUGCAUUCUUGUCAAAUAUGUAAACAGCAUGUUUUUGCAGGUGCUAAAAAACAGACUCUGAGUGUGUGUGUGUGUGUGUGUGUGUGUGUGUGUGUGUGUGUGUGUGUGUGUGUGUGUGUGUGUGUGUGUGUUCCUGCAGUACUCUGUACUCCUGCAGUGGCCAAAAAGACUUUUAAGAAUGUGGAUUUUUGGGUCAUCUUUGGCGCCCCCUAGAACUGCAGUACUCUGUACUCCUGCAGUGGCCAAAAUGACUUUUAAGAAUGUGGAUUUUUGGGUCAUCUUUGGCGCCCCCUAGAACGUAAACCGUGGGGUGCAGCGUCAUGAUUUUUACAACUUUGAAUGGGCAUGGGGUGUAGAUUGCCCUGAGCAAAUUUGGUAUCGGUGGGACGAAAGCCUUAGGAGGAGAUAGCCACAUUCCAAUGUGUGCGAAUCGGCAAAAAAUGCGAAAUAGCCCUUUAACCGUACAUUAUACAGACACGCGCUUUUUGACUUUUUCGUAGAUCUAAUUGAGAUACACAUGAUUGUCAAUUUUUGUGUCAAUAUGACAAAGCGUUCAGGCGUGACACUCAACAAUGUGUAUUUUCAUGUAAGGGGACAAGAAAAAAUUGACUUUUUUCUCCUGCCAUGGGGGGGCGCUCUUUUGGGGAGUAAAAAUUCCUUCACAAAUGUGUUGAUGGCUGGACAUUGCAUCAUCCUAGAAAACUUGGAGGGCAGUGAGGACAAAAAUAAAAAGUUAUAAGACUUUUAAGAAUGUGGAUUUUGGGUUAUCUUUGGCGCCCCCUAGAACGUAAACCGUGGGGUGCAGCGUCAUGAUUUGUACAACUUUUAAUGGCCAUGGGGGGUAGAUUGGCCUGCGCAAAUGUGGUGCCGGUCGAACGAAAGCCUUCGGAGGAGUUAGCGAAAUUCCAAUGUGUGCAGAUCUGCAAAAAAUGCAAAAAAACCCAUUAACCGUACAUUUGACAGAUACGCCCGCACUGACUUUUUUGUAGAUCUUAUUGAGAUACAUGUGUGUGUCAAUUGUUGUGUCAAUAUGACAAAGCGUACAGCUGUCAUGUGAAUUUUCACCUUAGGGGGCGCUAUGGAGCCAUUUUGCAUUUUCUUGUUUGGGCGACUUCAGAAUAUCGAAUUUUUCACCAGGCCCGGUCGUCCUGCCAAAUUUCCUGAGUUUUCGCCAGUGGGAAGUGGGCCAUUUUCCAGUUUAAAGCGGAGGAAAAAUAAUAACGAAAGAAGGAAACAUGCAGGAACAAGAGGGCUCUCGCAGCUGCUUAGCAGCUACGCUCGGGCCCUAAAGAAAGAAAGAAAGAAAGAAAGAAGAAAGAAAAACUCAUCAGGAAUAAUAGGGCUCUACGCCCGGCUGCUCUGCAGCUGGCUCGGGCCCUAACUAGGACCCCGUUGGGGCACUGGCGGGCCCGAGCCGUGUCGCGUCUCCCCCCCCCCCCCAACAUGCUGCCUCCCCGUCCCAUUUGUGCCCAUCACUGCAAAGACCCUUUUCCUUCAUCGGCGUUUGCUGUUCUUCCUGCCAGUGCGUGUUGCUUUCACUUACACUUGCCACAGCCAGCCUCGUGAGUGCCUAGCCUAUUGGAUAUCACUGUCACCUACACAGGACAGUCAUUACCUUUCUAUUAAUACUUUGUGUUUUAAUUUCACAUUAAUUUCCAUAUUGUAUAAACGACUGGAAAAAACUUGAGCCCCUGCCCCUGUAUAAUCAUGUGCAUGUCUCUGUUCUAGCUCCAAGGUGAAUCUUCACUGCUCAUGUUCUCCUCAGAAGCACUCACCUCACUCCCCUCAGGUUACUGUACACAUGCACCAACUGCCUGCUUCAGGUUUGGAUGGAGCUUCAUGGUUGUCUUUUGGAGAAAUGACCAGUCAAGUUGUGUUUGAAAUUUGAUUUUUUUCAGGGGCAAAAGGAGCCUCUGCAUUCUUGUCAAAUAUGUAAAUAGCAUGUUUUUGCAGGUGCUAAAAACCAGACUCUGAGUGUGUGUGUGUGUGUGUGUGUGUGUGUGUGUGUGUGUGUGUGCGUGUGUGUGCGUGUGUGUGUGUCUAUGUGUGCGUUCAAGUCACAUGACAUAUUUAACCGGAUGUAGCUGCAAGACGGAGCC